Molecule: long non-coding RNA, 486 nt
Organism: Malaya genurostris
Lineage: Eukaryota; Metazoa; Arthropoda; Insecta; Diptera; Culicidae
Exons: 3
Source: RefSeq, a predicted model, not a curated record
CAGUUGUGGAAUAAUUCCAUAUUUCAUGAUUAUUCAAAAUCAUUUACAAAAAGCUGCAAAAAAUAACAAUAAUUCAUUCGAGGGCUGAAUUGUAUAUGAAGUUUGUCAAACGCCUAUGCUUGUUCGAUCUCGAAAAAAUAAAUUAUGAUGGAUUGGUUAGUAUCAUUACUAGUGAAGUUGUCUGGAGCGAGUUAUUAAAAAGUCUACAUUCAAUCGGCUUGGUGGACUAGUUUUAGACCAUGAAGCUCGAGCAUUGGCUUCAUUCCAUACGGGAGCUACAUCUUGGUCCGUUCGCGAUAAGCUUGCCAGAUUGCAACAAACAGCGACAAUUCUGAAUCUAGAGAGCCUGAGUAUUGGGAUUCGUCUUCAACAACAUGGCGUCUGACACCUAGCGAAGUCCGGACAAUUCUUGCGUUAAGGCUGGACUUCAAAAUAGCCGACAUAAAAAGUUGAAACUUUAAACGAGGAAUGUAAGUAUUUCUGGGA